This 527-nucleotide long non-coding RNA is filed under the name Equus asinus (donkey). RNAcentral's name for it is "lncRNA (ENSEASG00005032291.1)". The record is from RNAcentral. Lineage: Eukaryota; Metazoa; Chordata; Mammalia; Perissodactyla; Equidae.
GUCUGUUCCUGAUGUGUCCAGAGACCAGUCCCAUCAAAUUCACAGAUCUCCAGAUGAAGAGAAGCAGCAUCUGAAAUGCCUCAUACACAUCUGUGCCUAGUGUAUAUUACUAAAACUUGGAAUUUAGAGCCAAUGCUGUACAGAAUGACAAUUUGGAGGGAGGAAUUCUACUUCCCAGGGGAAAGAAAAGGAAGAAAUUCCUAAAUUGGUGUUGAUUGAUGCCCAGUCUCUCCAAGCAAAAGGUGGACAACUCGCUUUGCAGCUGAUCAGUGUCGAGGUAAAUGCGCUCCAGUUCUCAGCAUUUCCGAACCAGCUCUCAUGAGACGGGUCAACCAAUCCGGGCUGUAAGCAGACUUAACAGGUUUGUUCUGGGCCGCCGGCCACUGACUAGGUUCUCCGACCAGAAAAGUCACUUGGCUGAGUCUACAGUAGGUGGGGCGCGCUCACCAGCUCAGGUGUAGUGAUUGCAAGUUUGUUGCAACAUCGGUGUAUUCAAGCAGCAGGCUGCUGUAGGAGAUACCCUUUUG